GAGAACAGCCUUUCAGUAAAGAGAGGCUGUAAGAAGGGGAGAGACUCUUUUGCAGGGUCUGCUAUGACAGGACAAGGGGAAAUGGUUUCAAACUGAAAGAGGGGAGAUUAAGGCAGGAUAUAAGACUAAAUAUAAGUUUUAUAGAAUAGCUAGAAGUUUGCUGUAGUAAGGACAGUGAAGCACUGAAACAGCUUGCCCAGAGAGGUGGUGGAUGCCCUGUUCCUGGAGACAUUCAAGGUUAGGCUGGACCAGGCCCUGAGCACCCUGAUAUAGUUGUAUAUGUCCCUCUUUAUUGCAGGGGAGUUGGACUAGCUGGCCUUUAAAGGUCCCAUCAAACUCUAAGGAUUCUAUGAUUCUAUGUGUUUUCUCAGAGCAGGCUGCUCCUGCAGAUGCAUUUGGAGAGCAGAAUAGGUUUCCAGCUAUAGAAUGCAAUCGGGAACAGUCAGCAAUAUGGCAGUUCUGAGCUUACAAAGUGCCUUACCAGCAAGGCUUUUCACUACUCUGAGCCACUCCAGCAGAAAAUAAGGUAGUUUUUCCACCUCAUCUGUGCUCUCCUCAUUUCCUUUGGGAAGUCAGGUUUCCAUAGGAAACCAUGCUGUUGGAAGCUGAUUCUUCCAGAGGUCUAACACUAGCCUCUGUAAGUCAGGAAGGCAGCUUAGCAGGCCCACUGGGAAGUAGCAGAUGGAUAGGAAAAUGACAUGCUUUCCAAAAGUAUUUAAAUAUCAACUCUCUUUUGUUACAGCUGUGUAAGAGCCAUAUAAAAUCAAGUAACAUGUAGGAGAGAAAAGGGGUCAUGAAGGAGGAGUUUGAGCAAAAAGUAAUGCUAAAAAAGAAAAAAAAAUCCAUUGCAAAUGGUAAUGUAAAUAAGGUAAAACUUGAAAACUAUGAAGCAAUACUGCAGAUAGUCAUGUCUGAAGGAAUACCUAGAGGGUUCUUUUUGGUGGUGAUCUUCACUCCUGGAUCUGAAUUUUUCUGGACUGUCUCCCUUACCACUUCUGCAGGACACAAUUGCAACAGAAUUUUCCUUGAAUCAACGGAGGACUAUUACUUGAUGAGAUCAUUGUUUUCAGACUGUUUAAGUCAGACAGAGGUACAUGCCCGCUUCACCCUGAGCCCUUCUGCGAAUGGUCAGAAACAGAAUACUGUGUGAUCUCAAAAAGAUUCAGAGCAAACAUGGAAGACAGUUAUGUUUAAAUGACACUCUGGUUGGGCAGGCACUGAACGCAGUAACAGUUUCAACAUAGACACCUUAAACCUUCCAGUAUUCUAUUUUAGGUAAGUUGUUUUAUUGUCUCUAACCUGCUGAUUAUUUGUGAGAUGUAAAAAUGUGCAGAUACGUCUCCCUCAUCUGAUGUUGCUUCUUUGCUGCUAAGAAGGAGGUAAAACAUUACUCUUACUUAAAUUCUGCAAUGAAUGAGCACAACAGUUCAUUUCUAAAAAGGUACAUUUUUUUUUCUUUACAUGGAAUGUUUCUGAAUUCUUACUUAUUUUUCCUUAAAGUCUGUCAGAUGUGUAUCAUUCACUUUAAAGUUAUUUCCCACAUAGUUGCAUUCUUAAGGUAAAAAGAUCAAAAGGAUGGAUGGGUUCAGAGCACAAGCUGUAAACUAGUUAUAAUUCAAGAUGACUGACAAUAUUUAAAUCUUGUUCUGACAAACUAUAUAAAUGACUAAAGAACAUGGAUUCUUCAUGUGACUCUUUUAAACAAAUUUCUGCCUAGAUAUAGGUAGAACCAGGCUUAUCCUACAGCAAGAUAGAGGAUCUGGGCUCAGCACAGCAGAGCAGUACAGCCACAACUGUGUCUCACAAACAGAAGCACGUAAACCGGUCUUUUUUUCUCUGGUAAAUACAUACUUACAAUUACCUGAUAGUUUGCCAGCAGUGCUAUUGGUCAGCAAAGAUACCACUUAUAGCCACACCAGUGGACUCUACAUAGAGAGUUGGAACAUACAUAUUUCGUAUAUGAUGGCAGAUUUUUUUAUACAGAACUUCCUUUCACUUAAUUAUUAACUGCUAUAUAACCUGUCAAAGUGUGUAACAGACUGAGUGAACCACUUUCUGGGGCCAGCAUUUACUAGGAUAUUUGCAGAGCAUCAAAAUCAUACGUGGAAAGGAACUAGUUUGUCAUCUUAGGUCAACCAGCUGAUCACUUCAUCUUCCAGGAUCUUUCAAAAUGGUGCAUUUUAUUUUCUUGUGGGAAAAGAAAACUUUAACAAGAAAUUGAAUCCAUUACCCGUUUAGUGCUGUCAUACUGUUCUAUUGAGUUUUAUAGGCUGGUUCAAAAGUUUACAUAACUCUUAUUUGGUAUUAAAAUUUAUAGUGUUUUUUGAAUAAUUUCUGAAAUCCUUUUGGCUUCAUGCUUCUUCCAGUGUAUAAAUUUUUCCCUUUCCAGUGUCGUCCUCUUUCAGCAUAUAGAUCUUUCCUGGCAACAUUGAAGCAAAACAGUAUCAGACUUUAAAGUCAGAAUCUUUCCCCAUUUAAGUGCAUCCAAAUAAUCAUUUCCUCUCCAUUCUUGGUGUUUACAUGCAUCAAAUACUUGAAGAUAGUUAUGCUUCUUAUGAGCCACUUAGUUAAUCUCCAAUGUACAUACACAUAUUUUACUCCUUUAAUCUUUCUUCAUAAAUAAGUUUCUCUGUCCCCCUUAAUCAUACUUGCUAGUCCUCUCUAUAUUCUCUCCAAAACCUUUUAUUUCUGCUUUCAUUUUGGCUGUCGGAACCAUUGCUUUAAAAUUUCUUCAUUCUAAGUUUACUUAAGUGCCAAAAAAAAAAAAAAUUGCUAGAAAUAAAAAUAGUAAUAAGUUUCAGCAUAAAGCAAACAUAUUCCAGUUAAGGUAAUGUAUAUUAUAAGCACUCCUUUCCUUUUGCAAUUAAUAUUGGAUUUUCAUAGUGUAACAAAACAUCUUUAUUGCACUAGAAUACAGGAUGGGAUAUACUUUAUCUGUCUUUCAGAUUCUACUGUCCUUUCUAAACAUUUCUCACUGCCUGAAGCUUAAUUGAUCUGUUUUAGAUUACUAAAUCAGGGUGGAAUGAUGAAUCACAGCGUUGACUUUGCCAGAUAUGAAGAGAGUUUAAGACAUUCAGAACCUGAGCUCAUGUGAACCGACAUUAUCAGAAGUUUAUAAAUACAGACUUCUGCAUCUGGACAGAUGAUUUGUGAUAUCUUCCAUACUGCAUGAAAGCACAGGAUAACCAAAGCAGGCUUGUUAUUCCAUAGCAUACAAUAGUUCUUCAAAACCAGGAUUGUUAAGGUGGUGUAUUUAUCUGGAGACCUCCAGGAUUUUCAGACUAAGAUGCAGCUUUGUGUCUAACUGCAGCCUAGACAAUACAUAGAUGGGAAAAUUCUCAGUAAUUAAAUAUCAAGACCCCCAAGGCAUUACAUCAUUCUAUCAAGGAACUGAGUAUUCAAGAAGUUAGCAUCAGAGUCAACAUUUACACAAGACACAUGCACAUUAUGUAAUUAGAAGAUUAAGGUAAAAGUAAGACACUGCCUUUGGGAAAAUCUGUUUCUUAAUUGGCAGAAAGAUGAUUAAACUUGCCACAUCAGAUACUUUUGUUAAAUUGAAGAUCUUAAGAAAACAAACUCUUAUUUAUAAUUCUCAUCCCCUUAACUCCUGAAGAAGAGCUGGAAAACCACUGAAUUUCUUGUCAAAAGAAUCAUGAUUAAAAACCAACCAAAAAAAAAAAAAAAAAAAACCCACCUUGCUGUGUUUAUUCAGUCCCUCCAAUAAUCUUAAGGCAGGUUUUCCUUGAGAUAUCAUAUUGUUCCUCAGGGAAACGUUUACUUCCUAGAAGCUUCUUCAAACAUAUUUUUUUCCUAACCAAGAAACACAAGAAUUAUAAUUGGAAGUGAUCUGCAAACCAUUUACAGAUGUGUGGCAAUGAGCUAAUCUCCUUUACCCACAGUUAGUAGAGCUUCUUCAUACCAGCAUUAGUGGUUCAGAAGAUCUGCUUCUCCACAAAGCUGUGCUCUUAGAAACACAGGGAGACUGGAGAAGUUGUUGAACCACCACAAGACUUGAGAAGCUAUGGAAUCACCUCUGUUGAGCUGGGAAUCAACACAAUGCUUUCUCAGAACAGCUUUUGAAACACCACUGUAAGCUACUGAAAGAUGCGUGAAUGUUUCCUGUGAACAGCAGGGAGUAUGCCCAGCAAAGGAUGGUGGGACUUACUUUGCUGGUAAAAUAUUUUCAUACAUGAAAGACAAAGCUUUUCCUCCUCAGCCAUGUAAGACUAUGACUUCCAGAAGUGAUAAAAUGAUCGGUAGUGCAACAUAGCUCACUGUGUACCUGGCAUUUGGUUAUCUGUAUUGUACUUUCUAUAUUAUUUCAGUGAACUGAAAAAUUAGUCCAUUAUUCUGAUGGCAGAGACAACCAGCUGUCUUCUUGAUAAGAUGUUGCCUGUUUUUCUCUCUUUUCCUUUUUAACCUGUUAAGCUGUUUAUGUAAUAAGUGAUAGCAAGUCAGACGGUUCAACUAAAGUAAAACACUGCUAAUGGAAUAUAGUGUGUUCAUUGUUUUAAAAAGUCUUCCAUAGAUAAUAAGUGUUUGUAAAAAAGAAACAUUUUGAAGUAUUAGUUUAUGCUUGCUUUCCAUUUCUAUUUUAAGCCUACAUAGAAUAAAAAAAAAGAUGGAGAGACAAGAAAGUAAAAAUGAUAGCACUCAGAUAGUCACAACACACUGAAAGAUUUUGUUUGACAAAAGCAUUGCAGUUCCUAUAAAAACAAAGCUUAGCAGAUUAAAAAUAAUAAUAAUAAUAAUUAGCCUGCUAAAAAAAUUCUCUUUUAUCAUUUUCCAUCAGAAAAUCAAAAAUAACUACAAUUGUUUUAUUUAAUCUGUUCCUGUAAAAUAGAUUUGCAGUAUUCUUUCUCCCGUAUUUUCAGAACUGAACAAUUUUUUACCAUAUGUGCUGUUUUAGUGCAAGUCUCCACUUUCAAAUAUUUUUAUUUUAUGAUGUCUCUUCUGCUUUCUUUCAUUUGCAGGUUUGUUCUUCAUUCUUGCAUCACAGCAGGAGUUGUACCCUUUAUCAGUGUUGAUGUCUUCUUAAAAGAGGGUCUGUGACCGCAUUUGAAGUAUCUCUACUACCAGUUGUGGUGAUUUCACCCUGAUGUGCAGCUAAACUACUACAUCAUUCUCCUGUUACUCCUACUCAAAGGAAGAGGGGGAGAAAAUGAAAUGAAAAAAGGCUCAGGGUUUGAGAUUACCGUCACUGAUCAGUGAUUAUGAGAAUAAAUAAACAUAGUGUGGAAAAAUCUUUGUAUAGUCAUUAAAAUACCCAAGUGUGGCAUUCUAGUAGAGAUUUAAUAAGGAGAAGAAACUGACCCUCAGACUUAGGAAUUCAUUUUCUUUACUUUUCUACAAGGACAGACAUACAUCUCUCUAUCUAAUUUAUAUAUACAUACGUAUAUAUAAAGCAAAGCUUUUAAAGAAUUUUUAUUUAUCAUUGUAAAAUCUCUACUUAGAAUUGGAAAGAGAUAGAAAAAAAAAAAGUAGACUUUGAUUAUCACCUUGAUACAUCUAAGUGUUUACAGUGGGAGCUAAGCUGUAGCAUAGCAAUGUAAUAAAAAUAGAAAGUAAAGUGACGUAAAAAGUGCACUGAGGACUACCUUAUAACUAAUUCCAAACGUUCAAGAAUAGUAAAUGGUUAACAGUGAUGCAAAAGGAAAUUACAGAAAAAACAAUCAAAAAGGACUCCUAAACAAUGAAAGGAAACAAAAAAUUAAUAAAGCAGAAGACUGAAAAACAGAUAAGGAGAGCAAAACGGUGAAAGAUUUCACAGAAGAUUAUGAAAUUAGCACAAAAAAUUUUUAAACAAUCCUAAGAAUAAACUGUCAUUGAAGAACAGAAUAGGGAUUGUGGAGGAUCAUUUUUUAAGGGAUGAGGUAAAAAAAGAUGGAAAAUUUAAACAAAUUCUUCGCAUAGCUGUUCAGAAAGAAAUGUCAGCUCGCAGAGCUGUAGAAAUAUAGGUACAUAUUUUCUGGAGCAAAAGGAAGGAUAAAACACCUAAGUAAACACACACUGUAUGUGACAUAGUACAGAUGACAAUCUUAGCAUGUAUCACAUAAAAUAAUUUCUCAGUGCUAAAGCAUAUGCACUUCAGAAUUCACAGAAAGGGACAAAAAACAGCAUCACUCUUCACAAGACUAAUUUACAUCACUUCACCAUUCAGAUAACUUUUCCUUUUCAAAAUGUUGCUUUGAAGUCACAUGGGCUACUUACAUGACUGACAACUCUAGGACUGCAGUGAAAAAGAAGUUUCAGUGGAAUUAAAGAAAAAGUAACGGGAAGUGUGCAGGAGGUAUCUGUGCAAAGAAGGGCCCCAUGCAACUCCUCUCACAGCUUGCCUCUAAAAACUCAAGAACUGGGUUUAAAUGAGAGAAACACCUUGUCUUUCUGGCAAGUUUUAGCAAUGCCUUCUAUGCAGGAAAGCAAUUUGCUUCAAGACCAAACAGAAAUGCACACUGGUUAAGAGUGAUAUAUUACAAAAACAACAGAGUAUAGCUAAAUUCAGCAAAUUAUGAAGCAAUGGCUAUUUCAGUGAGAGUCAGAGAUUCGUCUAAUGAGAUCCAGGAGUUUCAGCUCUGAACAAAAAGUGAUGAAUUCAAGCUUAAAUUCCUACAAGUAACCCCUAUUCUACAUUAAAGGUAACCAUCCAUCACAUUUUUAACUACAUCUACAAGGGAGUUCAGUAACUUCAGUCUAAAAAAUUCAAAACACAGACAUAUUUUCAGCCAAAACAAAGCCAGAGCCAGCAGUAAUUUUAAUUCUUUUCACUAAGUAUUGUUCUGGCCAUAAGACUAUGUGUAAAAUGGAUGUGGUUGAAGCCACAAUGGACUGUAAGGUUUAUAGGAUGAACAAGUUGCUAAGGAAGAGCUUGCAUGCCUAAAAACUUACAUUAUUCCAGCUGGAGUGCAUCCUGUAACAACAGUACUUCUUUAUUCUUCCAUAUCUUCCCUAAAAAGCUGAGCGCUCUGGCUGAAGACAGGCCAGGAGAGGCGCAUGGAUGUUUGCCUUCUUCAUGUUGCCUGAAAACCUAGUCCUUGUCUCAUCUGGGAACAGGACAGUCAUGCCAAGUGGAUGCAUCUCCCUGCAUCUGUGGAGAGACAGCAAAUGUGCUGUCUGGAAAGUAUCUGUGUUCUAGGAGGUGAGAAACUGGCUUGGGCUGUUUGAUUUCACUUCUACUCAGAGAAAUGGGGCAAUGAACUUUCUAAUAAACAGGUUUGGUUCACAGAGGGAUGACUCCACCAUCGAUCAUUCCACCAGAGGAAUAACUCAAGAUUCGAAAAUUUUAACCAGAUAAUUUUAUCAAAAGAAUAAUAAAAAAAAAAAAAAAAAAAAAAAAAAAAAAAGGACCAAGUAAUGACUUAAAACAAUUGCUGUGAUAUUACAUCUACAUAGGAUCUACUGGCCUAUAUGUCAGUUUUAAUCUGCCACUGGUUAAAUCCUACAUACUGAGCAAAAUAACUUACCAACACAAUACAUGCAAAGUAAAUAAAUACUCAAGCAACACUCUAUGUCCCACAUCCACUCAGAUACCAGAAGUGUGUAUUUCCAGUCUGUGAAAUACAAUGAUAAGUAAAAACAGUGAUUCUCCAUGAGUGCAUUACUCAGAAGAAGCAAUGUUAAGGCAGUCAGUGUGAUCUUUAAAAAUCACUCCCAGUAAAUAAAUAAAUAAGCACCUCUACCUGCACAGCUAUCUGAAGACAAGUUAACAAAUUCUGUUUUCCACUUAUUAGCAAAUCAGUUGUUCUGUAAAGAAUACAUGAUCAAAACCUACAGCAACAGCUGGCACAUGUAUAAAGCGGGGCAAAAAAAUUAAGAUGAAGUAUUUCUGACAAAAAAAUAUAUGAAACAAAACAAAGUUGAAAACUGAAGCAGAUAUCAGAUAACCAUUUUGUCAUUUAUAAAAUACUUUUUCAGGACAAAAGGGGUUGCCAUACCUUUUCACUCAGCAUAUCCUCAGAGUCACAUAUUAAGCUGAUCAAAUCCGAGGGUACUGCAGUAAGCUGAAGCUUGAAGCUGCCUCCACUUCCUUCAUUUCGUUUACAGUUUUGUUUGGGGGUUGUUCUUUUUUUUCUUUUUAGCUUGCAGAAACCUGAGGGAAAAAAUAUUUUGGGGGUUACUAUCGAAAUAGUUUAUUCAGUAGUCAAUUAACUGAAAAAAACAAAUAGUUCUAAACUGAUCUCUUAUAUACCAUGCCCCUUUUUAUAUCAUAGUUAUUGGUUCCAUUCUGUUGUUAUAUUUUACUGAAAACAUUAUGAAUAUAAAUGAGAAUAGUGCACAAAGAGCAGAGGUGAAGAUAUGUCCCAUUAGAAAUCUGCUUUUUUACUUACAUUUACUGAGGUUAUCAAGUACCUCUUUAUGAACUCUUCAUCCCUUUCUAAAAGGUAAAGUUGAAAUUGGGAAAUAUAUUGCAUCAGUUAUUGGGCAUUCUGGGGUUUUCCAUUAUUUUAAAAACCUCCUAUGUGCCUAAUUAUAGCUAAUAAGUACUGUUUAGAAACAUAGCAGAGAACUCAUGAUUUCCUUCUUCACCCAAUGCCCAGAAAAUCCAUGUCCGAGAACAAAAUCUUGAAGGUAUUUGUGAUCAUGACCCAUUCUCAUUAUCUGUAUCCAUUCUAAGAUUUUUAUAUUAUAUGAAUGAAUAUUUUAAAGUGAAAUUAUAGUAUUCAAUGGCAAAUUACAACUACAUGUGACCAAGAGAGGAUUAAACCCAUCAUUUUGCUUAAGAGCUCUGAUGGCUGGAGUAAUUGGAUGAUAGCUGUAGGGCAUCUUUUUGGUCUGUAAUUAGGUCAUUUCUUUCUCAUCCCUUCACUGUGUGUAUAAUUACGAAUUAAUUUGAAAUCCCACUGUGAGUAAAGAAAGUCAGUUUAAUAUAACGGAAGUGCAAAAGCCACAAUAUAUUACUUUUUAAAAACUGCUUAUUUCAAAAUACUCAGUCUGGCCAAAAGUUAUAUCCCUAUGUACUGCAAGGCUUAUAUUUGGUUUCUUUGCUAACUUUGUACAAGUGCUGCUCUGAAAGUAAUGCCUCCUGUUUUAUUAUGUUGGUGUGCAAUGUCAGAGGUGGAUUUUGGUGGUACAUCAGGAGAGGUUGAACCUUCACACCAGUAUUCCACUACAUUUUGUUGCUGUGUGACAGAUGGCAGCAGAGGGUCAGUCUGACAAAAUGGCUUCUGACACGGAAGCAUCUGAGAAGAAAAGAUGUGGAACUGAAUUCCUCCAUGUGGUAAAAAAAUUGCAUCCAUUGACUUUCACUGAUGCUUGCUGAACAUUUAUGGAGAUCAAACAGUGGAUGUGAGCUCAGUGAGGUUGUGGGUAAUGUGUUUCAACAGCAGUGAUAGUGGCAGUGGUUCACCUCCACCGGUGCAAAUUUUUACAAGAACAGCAAGCAGGUUCUCGUUCAUCGUUGGCAAAAAUGCAUAGCUAAUGACAGUGAAUAUGCAGCAAAAUAAAGUUUGUAUUUGAGAAUUUUCUCUAUGAAAUAGUGUUAUUGUGCUCUUUGUAUUUGUUGCAGUUUCUAUGGAAAUAAACAGCAAGUAUUACUUUUGAAUCAAUCUACGUUCCUGGAUGUAUUUUCUCUCUUAAAAUAAAUGAAUUUUCAAAGCACCACACUUUGCUCCAGUAUCUGUCAGUAGGUGUCAACAGCACAAAAAGGUAGUGGAAAGAAAUAAAAAGUAACCAUGAGAGUCUUGACAGACAGUAUUAGCAUCAGAGAACUUAGAGGCCACUCUCAACACAGUCAACCAUUUUAUCCUUUAGUCCUGCCAUUAUUUCCUUCCACUGAAACUACCUUUCUGCUUUUACCCUGAAAGUGUUAAACACUGCACAACCCUAACUAGCAUACCUGCUACUAUGUGCAUCAGGAGCUCACCAUUUCAUCAUCUGGCUGAGAUAUGCUGCUGGCAAGUUCUGCUUCCCUUCCUUUAUCACAACAUUGUGGUCGGAUGCAUCAGACCUCCCUCCCGCCUUAGCAAUGAUACAGGUAAAAACAUGCAUUUCUGACAAAUGGAUAACCCCAAGCAGAUCUGUGGAGACAAUGUUUUGACUUGCUGAACUUCCUGUUUCAUUCUGUUUUCAUCUGUCCCCAGAAACCUUGAAAGGGGUCGGUGAGAGGGUCCCAGGUGUGAUCUGAGCACCAGUGAUGUCAACAGCGAGCCAGGGGCUGUGCAGGGUGUGAAGUUAAAGGGAAGAGCAGAGAAAAGACUGUUGGUGCAGAGAACAAGGGUACUGAGAUUUGACUGUAUUUGUAGCUGUGCUGUAAAAAACUGUAAAACAUCCCAUGCCGUUAGCAUAAGAUUAGAUUUCUGCCAGGAAAAAAAAAAAAAAAAAGAGAGAGAGAGAGAGAACAAAAAGAAAUGGAACUGCUUAGAUAUAAGUUCCAAAGUUCAUUAAGAGGGUUCUUUUCUGCAUAGCUCCAAAGCUAAGAUGUGCUAAGGCAUGUAGAAAAAUAAGGAGGUGUUAAAAACCUACCCAACUUCUUAGCUUUCAAAAAAAGUUCAAAGUCCUAGUCAUCGAUUAUUUACAUGGUGACCUCCAGGCCUAUUUGUGAUGCCAAAAAAAUUGUACUCAGGAAGGAAGGAAGACAUUAUCAAAAAGGAAAGAAUUUCUGUUUAAUCUAAUAAUGCCUUUAUAAAAAUAACCAUUUUCUUUUACAUAUAAUAAAAAAUUCAUUAGAAAAUCUCAACAUAUUUUUAUAUAAAAAUAAUAACUGGCAACAUAGCUAGAAAUAAGAAGCAGAGAAAGAAACUUGGAUGCAUUUCUUGCUUGCAAGAGCAUGAUGAGGAAAUAAGGUAAUCUAGUCUUCCCAUUCUGAACAAAAUAGACAUGAUAACAGAAUAUAUAAAUCAAGACAUUUUUGGAGAAAUAAUGUCACUCCAUAAUUUUUGAAAGUAGAAAUAAUUUAAAAUUCAUGCAUGAAACUAAAUAGGUAAAAUAUGUCAUUUUGAAAUAACAUAACAGUAAAAAUAAUUUGUAAAACUUUUUUUGUUUUUUAACUGAGUCUCAUUUUAUACUUGGAAAAUUUUCUUUAGAAAAUUUUCAACCUCUUCUAUGUAGCUCCUGGGUAAAUAUGGAGGUUUUAUGGAAACCAAACAAAUGAAUUAAAUGACUACAAGAAUUAUUGGCUCUAAAUAUAUACAUUUUCUUCUGAUGCUACUAGAAUGUUACUAGUAUAUACUGUAUGAAUUAUAAAAAAUGUUAUGACAGAUAUGGAAGUAAUAUACUUCGGUGAUAAAUCUUCAAUAGAAAGAAUUUAUUAGAGUCAUAUAGAUCUACU
This 11263-nucleotide long non-coding RNA is filed under the name Gallus gallus (chicken). Lineage: Eukaryota; Metazoa; Chordata; Aves; Galliformes; Phasianidae. The record is from RNAcentral.